This 1304-nucleotide unclassified non-coding RNA is filed under the name Pocillopora damicornis (cauliflower coral). Its description in RNAcentral is "uncharacterized LOC113685321, transcript variant X3". Lineage: Eukaryota; Metazoa; Cnidaria; Anthozoa; Scleractinia; Pocilloporidae. The record is from RNAcentral.
GCUGAGAGUGACUUGCACUUUAUCGCAAUGCCUACUUCAUCUCGAAAAAUCGUUAUAAACAAAGGUUAUGUCGGAGACGAUUCUGCCACGAAUGAGUCGCUGGGACUAAAACAAAUUAGUUUAAAAGAGGCCAAUUUUGGAGCAGCAAGUGAUCCAGGGAGCGCACUUUACGAAACGCAUGAGGAGAAACCACACCCGGCAAGGCGAUCGAACGGGAGAUAUUUGCCCUUGUUCUUUUUUGCGUGUUUACUUUCCAUCGUCGCCAUUAUUCUGAGUUUGCUGUCGCUGUGGGGGAAUUUCGGUGAAAAAUGUGAUUGCUCCAAAACUGAAGCACUCACUACGUCCGUUGAAAAGCUGUCUGCUGAUGUAAUCAAGAUUAGUUCCUUGGAAGAGAACAUGACGCGCUUUCAGCGAGAUUUGAUAGAGAAAGAGGCCGAGUUAAACAGUACCCGUUUAUCCUUGGAUUACCUUCAAGAAGAACACAACAACUUAAGUGAAAAGACUGAUGCAGAACUUAGCUCUGUUCGAAACGAUUUGGACAAUUCAAAGAAAUUACUCAUGACGUCUGAAAAAGAAACAAGGAAAACACUAGCAGCAGUCAAUUCAUCCUUUGUUAAUGAGGUUUGAAGUUAUUACAUUAUAUUAGUGAUUGUAGAGAUUUUAGAAUUCGUCACGGAACAAGACUCCUGGAGGUGUUGACGCAGGAUGCAUUGGUCGUUAUUUGCAGUGAAUCUGGUUUUAGGUAGAAUAUGACAAAUCUAGUGGUGACUCUUCAAGAUUCAGGAAUAAAAUCAAAAAAUUAAGACAGGAAAAAAAAUAAACAACAUGAGAUAUUAUAUGCGGUCAUCCAUCCGAGUCAGAGUAACUCCAAGUCAAAAGGGCUUAACUUAACUGACAAAAAAAGCGCGUGGUUAAUUUCCAUUUCUGACUACACCGACACUCAACCAAAUUUGUAACGCAGUCUACCAUAGAAAGCCCACGUAAUAAUCAAAGCGACAAAGCAAGUAACACCCAAUCAGCUAAAUGAACGAACGAACGAGAUUUUCCUUACAUUUAAUCUUUCAUCUUUUUCUUUCAGGUAGAAAAGCUCGAUUCAUAUUUGAAUCAGCUCAAGUCUGCACUGAAUAGAACAAACACACACGUCACAGAGAUCAACGAAACUUUAAGAAAGUAUCCCUGCUGUUCUAACCCGUGCAAAAACGGACGGACCUGCUAUCUAGCGAACGAGAGGUGCAAAUUCAUAUGUGCUUGUGCUCCAGGUUUUGUUGGAGAAAAAUGUGAAAAAGGUAAUAUCAUUUCUACAG